UAGAGUUGAUCAUGGCUCAGAUUGAACGCUGGCGGCAGGCCUAACACAUGCAAGUCGAGCGGAUGACAGGAGCUUGCUCCUGAAUUCAGCGGCGGACGGGUGAGUAAUGCCUAGGAAUCUGCCUGGUAGUGGGGGACAACGUUUCGAAAGGAACGCUAAUACCGCAUACGUCCUACGGGAGAAAGCAGGGGACCUUCGGGCCUUGCGCUAUCAGAUGAGCCUAGGUCGGAUUAGCUAGUUGGUGAGGUAAUGGCUCACCAAGGCGACGAUCCGUAACUGGUCUGAGAGGAUGAUCAGUCACACUGGAACUGAGACACGGUCCAGACUCCUACGGGAGGCAGCAGUGGGGAAUAUUGGACAAUGGGCGAAAGCCUGAUCCAGCCAUGCCGCGUGUGUGAAGAAGGUCUUCGGAUUGUAAAGCACUUUAAGUUGGGAGGAAGGGCAUUAACCUAAUACGUUAGUGUUUGACGUUACCGACAGAAUAAGCA
Molecule: ribosomal RNA, 488 nt
Filed under: Pseudomonas sp. CL4.109
Lineage: Bacteria; Pseudomonadati; Pseudomonadota; Gammaproteobacteria; Pseudomonadales; Pseudomonadaceae
Description: bacterial SSU rRNA
Rfam family: Bacterial small subunit ribosomal RNA
Source: RNAcentral